RNAcentral lists this ribosomal RNA (255 nucleotides) under uncultured bacterium. Its description in RNAcentral is "partial 16S ribosomal RNA". It matches the Rfam family "Bacterial small subunit ribosomal RNA", at positions 524 to 776 of the family's 1533-position model. The record is from RNAcentral.
GACAAACAGUGCGAGCGUUAUUCGGAUUGAUUGGGCUUAAAGGGUAUGUAGGUGGCUUUUCAAACCAUAAUAGAAAUGCUAGGGUCAUAACCUUAGCAGUUAUUAUGCAGAUUAUUUAGCUUGAGUUAAUUAGAAGUUUAGAGGAUUUUCAUGUGGAGGAGUAGAAUCCUUAGAUAUAUGAAGGACCACCCGGAGUGUAAACGUCUUUCUAUAAUUAACUGACACUGAGGUACGUAGGCGUGGGGCGCAAAUCGG